GAAAUGCGAUAAGUAAUGUGAAUUGAAGAAUUCAGUGAAUCAUCGAAUCUUUGAACGCACCUUGCGCUCCUUGGUAUUCCUUGGAGCAUGCCUGUUUGAGUAUCAUGAAAUCUUCAAAGUAAAUCUUUUGUUAACUCAAUUGGUUUCUACUUUGGUAUUGGAGGUCUUUGCAGCUUCACACCUGCUCCUCUUUGUUCAUUAGCUGGAUCUCAGUGUUAUGCUUGGUUCCACUCGGCGUGAUAAGUUAUCUAUCGCUGAGGACACUGUAAAAGGUGGCCAAGGUAAAUGCAGAUGAACCGCUUCUAAUAGUCCAUUUACUUGGACAAUACUUUUAUGAUCUGAUCUCAAAUCAGGUAGGACUACCCGCUGAACUUAAGC
This 378-nucleotide unclassified non-coding RNA is filed under the name plant metagenome. RNAcentral describes it as "partial contains 5.8S ribosomal RNA, internal transcribed spacer 2, and large subunit ribosomal RNA". The stretch from base 1 to 105 matches the Rfam family "5.8S ribosomal RNA", at positions 50 to 154 of the family's 154-position model. The record is from RNAcentral.